Molecule: ribosomal RNA, 465 nt
Filed under: Vreelandella stevensii
Lineage: Bacteria; Pseudomonadati; Pseudomonadota; Gammaproteobacteria; Oceanospirillales; Halomonadaceae
Description: partial 16S ribosomal RNA
Rfam family: Bacterial small subunit ribosomal RNA
Source: RNAcentral
CCUACGGGUGGCAGCAGUGGGGAAUAUUGGACAAUGGGGGGAACCCUGAUCCAGCCAUGCCGCGUGUGUGAAGAAGGCCCUCGGGUUGUAAAGCACUUUCAGUGAGGAAGAACGCCUGGUGGUUAAUACCCAUCAGGAAAGACAUCACUCACAGAAGAAGCACCGGCUAACUCCGUGCCAGCAGCCGCGGUAAUACGGAGGGUGCGAGCGUUAAUCGGAAUUACUGGGCGUAAAGCGCGCGUAGGUGGCUUGAUAAGCCGGUUGUGAAAGCCCCGGGCUCAACCUGGGAACGGCAUCCGGAACUGUCAAGCUGGAGUGCAGGGGAGGAAGGUAGAAUUCCCGGUGUAGCGGUGAAAGGCGUAGAGAUCGGGAGGAAUACCAGUGGCGAAGGCGGCCUUCUGGACUGACACUGACACUGAGGUGCGAAAGCGUGGGUAGCAAACAGGAUUAGAUACCCCAGUAGUC